Molecule: RNase P RNA, 338 nt
Filed under: human gut metagenome
Description: Bacterial RNase P class A
Rfam family: Bacterial RNase P class A
About the family: Ribonuclease P (RNase P) is a ubiquitous endoribonuclease, found in archaea, bacteria and eukarya as well as chloroplasts and mitochondria. Its best characterised activity is the generation of mature 5'-ends of tRNAs by cleaving the 5'-leader elements of precursor-tRNAs. Cellular RNase Ps are ribonucleoproteins.
Source: RNAcentral
GUUUGACGGAUGGUCGCGGCUGCAGGAACGAAAGGCUGCAGGUGAGGAAAGUCCGGGCUUCAUAGGGCAGGAUGCCAGAUAACAUCUGGUGGAGGUGACUCUAAGGAAAGUGCAACAGAAAUAUACCGCCAUAUUUAUUGUGGUAAGGUUGGAAGGGCAGUGUAAGAGACUACCGCCUGUGUGGUAACAGACAGGGCAUAUGUAAACCCCAUCCGAAGCAAGACCGAACAGAAACAUAAGGUUGCCCGCCUGUUUCGGGUAGGUCGCUUGAAACUAUUAGUGAUAGUAGUUCUAGAUAGAUGAUCAUCUAAGACAUAACCCGGCUUAUAGUCAAACUU